GAUGCUAACCAACUUUUGGGCUAAUUACAGCCGUAGAAAGUCAUCAACUUUUAAUCUCAGCCGUUUAAAGUCUCUAAAUUCCUUCUAGAAGCAGCGGUUCUCGGCAGUUCAGCACUCUCUCACCCAUGAUCUUGCGGUUUUCUGCAGUUUAUCAAGAUGUACCAAUCAGAAAUGCAGGUUGCAAUGCGGUUUAAAAUGUGUUCCUUAUUUUCAGGGAGUUAGUGGCAACACAUCUGCAGCAAUGGAUAUCUCGGAUGACUUCGUGGACAUUUAUGAAGAAGAUCAGCCUGCAAAGAAACUGGGUUUUGAUGCAAUGACACCGAAGAAGAAUCAAAUAUGCAGCCCAAUGAAAGAUUCUCCGAAGACGGACAGUGGAAGUGUAGAGAUCAUUUCAUAUG
Molecule: long non-coding RNA, 398 nt
Organism: Helianthus annuus (common sunflower)
Lineage: Eukaryota; Viridiplantae; Streptophyta; Magnoliopsida; Asterales; Asteraceae
Exons: 4
Source: RefSeq, a predicted model, not a curated record